GCCCCAUUUUUGGCCGAGAGGUUAAGGCGAUGGACUGCUAAUCCAUUGUGCUCUGCACGCGUGGGUUCGAGUCCCAUCCUCAUCGAGAGGCU
Cyprinodon tularosa is the source of this 92-nucleotide non-coding RNA. NCBI's taxonomy places the organism in Eukaryota, Metazoa, Chordata, Actinopteri, Cyprinodontiformes, Cyprinodontidae. The record is from the annotation of a RefSeq genome assembly.